RNAcentral lists this ribosomal RNA (96 nucleotides) under Thermoactinomyces daqus. The record is from RNAcentral. RNAcentral also lists the same sequence under 3 other names. Lineage: Bacteria; Bacillati; Bacillota; Bacilli; Caryophanales; Thermoactinomycetaceae.
GGGAUCCACCCGUUCCCAUCCCGAACACGGAAGUUAAGCCCUCCAGCGCCGAUGGUACUUGGGGUUCACCCCUGGGAGAGUAGGUCGUUGCCAGGC